This 715-nucleotide long non-coding RNA is filed under the name Homo sapiens (human). Its description in RNAcentral is "HSALNT0393033". The record is from RNAcentral. Lineage: Eukaryota; Metazoa; Chordata; Mammalia; Primates; Hominidae.
ACGGCAACUGUGCAGAGAGGCUUGCAGGUCCAAACCACUGGUAGCAGCCCCUGGUAUAUCCAGGACAUCAGCACAUAGAACCAGUGAAAGGGUCCUCCCUCAUAGUGACGCAUGUCAUAGACUCAGAUUUAUACAAACAAAUGCUGAGCAAACCAUGAAGAGUCUCUGGUAUUUUCAACAAUAUCAUCACAGAGGAACUGUAUUGAUUUCCUUAUGGGGUUUGCAGGAGCAAUGGCUGUAGGGACACUAAGAUUUCACCCUCCAGAAGACAGCAUCUUCCUGUGCCAUGGCUAGAUCACCAGCUACCCACAGACAGCCUGAACUCCAAUUGUCUUCCUGCACAUGUGCCUUUAAAGGUUUUACUGGCAUUAUUGCUUUUUUACUUCUGGAACUUUUCAAAUGUAGAGGAGCCUUUAGAAGGAAGCCUUGAGCAUGAGGACAGACCCCCCUCAUCCAACCACCACCUGACUCUGUGUGAACCUGGAACUGUUAGAAUGUCUGUGCUGUGAUAAAAGGUCAUCUCCCUACAAUGUUAUGAUACAGACCUCAAACCUACAAACAUGAGGAACUUCUGCCUCCAGGUUAACUGCUUACCCACUGUACAAGACACGUUACACACAGUCCAGGAGGCGGAGCUUCUGAGAUAUCUAGAAACAGCUUAGAGGCAAAAUGACAAAAUAAAGCAGCAACAACAAAUAAAACCAAUCUUCUCGAA